Long non-coding RNA from Thalassophryne amazonica, 524 nucleotides. RefSeq lists it as uncharacterized. The record is from RefSeq and is a predicted model, not a curated record. The transcript is spliced from 2 exons. Lineage: Eukaryota; Metazoa; Chordata; Actinopteri; Batrachoidiformes; Batrachoididae.
GGCACACAUUCUGAUAAACUCGUGGUGUUCAUCUGUGUUUAUCAUCUUUUUGUCAUGGUAAGAUGUCGAUGACAUUUCAGACGCUUCUCCCAACAUGUUCCAAUAACACCUUCGGAAUUGUUGGAGGUCAGGAAGCAGGAGGUCGCCUCUGUCGAGUCUUUGUGCUGAACAAAGCGAUCAAACCGGUUUUCAGUUUUCCGUCUGACUUUGAAUAACUGAAAUGUUUACUGAAUAUUACUGAAUACUGGAACGCUGCUUGAUGACCAUCGUCUCACAAACAGAGGAGAUGAUGUCUGUAGAAGAAGCUGAAGAAUAAGCUGCACGUGAGGUCGCUCAUCAAGAGACAGUGUGUGUGUGUGUGUGUGUCGGUUGUACUUUUUCUCAUCUGAUGUGUAACAUUUUAAUGUGUACAUUUGCCUUAUGUUGGUUUCAUUUGUGGUCUGAAGUUGUGGAGGUCAGAGGUCAGUUCUGCAUUUGUGUUCAAGUACUGUCGAUGAAAUAAAACAUUCUACAGUUUUCCUACA